AUAUCAAUAAGCGGAGGAAAAGAAACCAACAGGGAUUGCCCUAGUAACGGCGAGUGAAGCGGCAACAGCUCAAAUUUGAAAUCUGGCGUCUUCGGCGUCCGAGUUGUAAUUUGCAGAGGGCGCUUUGGCAUUGGCAGCGGUCCAAGUUCCUUGGAACAGGACGUCACAGAGGGUGAGAAUCCCGUACGUGGUCGCUAGCCUUUACCGUGUAAAGCCCCUUCGACGAGUCGAGUUGUUUGGGAAUGCAGCUCUAAAUGGGAGGUAAAUUUCUUCUAAAGCUAAAUACUGGCCAGAGACCGAUAGCGCACAAGUAGAGUGAUCGAAAGAUGAAAAGCACUUUGGAAAGAGAGUUAAAAAGCACGUGAAAUUGUUGAAAGGGAAGCGCUUGCAGCCAGACUUGCCUGUAGUUGCUCAUCCGGGUUUCUACCCGGUGCACUCUUCUACGGGCAGGCCAGCAUCAGUUUGGGCGGUUGGAUAAAGGUCUCUGUCAUGUACCUCUCUUCGGGGAGAACUUAUAGGGGAGACGACAUGCAACCAGCCUGGACUGAGGUCCGCGCAUCUGCUAGGAUGCUGGCGUAAUGGCUGUAAGCGGCCCGUCUUGAAACACGGACCAAGGAGUCUAACAUCUAUGCGAGUGUUUGGGUGUCAAGCCCGAGCGCGUAAUGAAAGUGAACGGAGGUGGGAACCCUUCGGGGUGCACCAUCGACCGAUCCUGAUGUCUUCGGAUGGAUUUGAGUAAGAGCAUAGCUGUUGGGACCCGAAAGAUGGUGAACUAUGCUUGAAUAGGGUGAAGCCAGAGGAAACUCUGGUGGAGGCUCGCAGCGGUUCUGACGUGCAAAUCGAUCGUCAAAUUUGGGCAUAGGGGCGAAAGACUAAUCGAACUAUCUAGUAGC
RNAcentral lists this small RNA (893 nucleotides) under Didymella gardeniae. RNAcentral describes it as "eukaryotic LSU rRNA". It matches the Rfam family "Eukaryotic large subunit ribosomal RNA", at positions 40 to 951 of the family's 3401-position model. The record is from RNAcentral. Lineage: Eukaryota; Fungi; Ascomycota; Dothideomycetes; Pleosporales; Didymellaceae.